This 34-nucleotide non-coding RNA is filed under the name Schistosoma mansoni. The record is from RNAcentral. Lineage: Eukaryota; Metazoa; Platyhelminthes; Trematoda; Strigeidida; Schistosomatidae.
CUGAAGAGUCCCACAAUAGGACGAAACGGCUGUC